UAGCAAACUAGAGAGAAAAUAGUUCUGAGAAAUUUAAACGUGAAACACUAAGAAUAAUCUCUUCGAUUGAACCAGUAAAGCCACGCAUUUUUUUAUAUAAAUAUUUUUUUUUCUCAAAUUUUUUCCCGUUAAAACAUUGGCAACAAAAAAAGAAGUGUAAAAAUCAGUUGAAAAUUAGAUUUUUGUGAGUGAAAAAAAUUAAAAAUAAUACGAAAAAUAUUACGAGAAAGGAAGACACAGAGAGAGAAAGCAAAGAAGUGAAGAGGCAACAUAUAUAGGCAACGAGAAAUAUAGAGAGAGAAAAGAGACAACCAAACAGCCACAUUAUAAUUUUCAUCAAUCAAAGUAUGCUCUGUUUGAUUUUACUGUCUUAUAUUUCCAUUGCAAAUUGAUUGAAAAAGAAGAAGGCCCCCAAAUCCUGUAGCAUCAACGCAGUUUUGUCAGCGGUUUGUGCGAUUGAAAAUUCUUAACAACAACAACAACGCGGUGUCAUUUUCAUGCCAAACAAAAGGUGUGCGGAAAAGGAGCGACUAUAGAGAAAAUAAU
Molecule: long non-coding RNA, 546 nt
Organism: Contarinia nasturtii (swede midge)
Lineage: Eukaryota; Metazoa; Arthropoda; Insecta; Diptera; Cecidomyiidae
Exons: 3
Source: RefSeq, a predicted model, not a curated record